This is a long non-coding RNA of Hypanus sabinus (Atlantic stingray), 3774 nucleotides long. RefSeq lists it as uncharacterized. The record is from RefSeq and is a predicted model, not a curated record. The transcript has 3 exons. Lineage: Eukaryota; Metazoa; Chordata; Chondrichthyes; Myliobatiformes; Dasyatidae.
UUGUACCAAGAAACAGUGGAAAGCUUGUCUUGCAUACUGUUCAUAUUACACAGCAUGGUGAAGUAGAACAAGCUAAGCCAAUAACUGUGGUAAACUAUGUGUAUACCUGUCUGGAUACGCCCCUCUGCUGACUGCUCCUGUGGCUCCUCCCACAGACCCCUAUAUAAAGGCGAUUGCAGGCACUGCUCCUCCCUCAGUCUCCAAGAUGUUGUGGUCACUUCUGCUGCUAAUAAAAGCCUAUUGUUCGCCUCCCGUCUCCGAGAGUUAUUGAUGGUGCAUCAAUUUUAUUAGCAGCAUUUUAAAAUACGGAGAGCAUUUUACGACCCGAAGGAUUGGAUAUUGGCUCUCAAUCUCCGGAAGCCAGCAUCGCUUUUGAACUCUGGCUUGCAUGCUUCCAAUCGUACCUGGAAGAGAUUCAUGUGACCGAGCCUGCAACGUUGCACAAAAUUCUCCUCUCCAGGGUCAGGGACCUGAUCAGGGACCUGCUGACCUACCGAGGGGCACUGGACGCCCUCAAAAGAUAAUACCUGCAACCGGUGAACACCGUCUACGCAAGACAUCGCUUAGCGACACGGCGGCAGUGUGCCGGAGAGUCGGGUGCUGAGUUUGUCUGAGCCCUACAGACACUUGUGCGGGACUGACGGCAGAGCGGCCUGCAGAGCUGCUAGUAAGAGACGCCUUCGUUACGGGGAUCAGGUCAGUGUAAGUGCGCCAGCGGCUGCUGGAACAUGCCGAUCUCACCUUACAUUCGGCGAUCAAGCUGGACGACACGCUGGAGGCCGCACUGCACGAUGCUGAUGCUGUCCAGGCGCGCGAUCUCCUGCUGGCCCUGUGGACGCUGCAGACCCCGCAACCCACCGGCGAAUCAACCUCGGCUGCUGCCAGUCGUGAGUCUGUGAAGUCCCCGCUACCCGCCGGCGAAUCAGCCACAGCUGCUGCUAGUCGCAAGUCCAUGAAGUCCCCGCAACCCGGCAUAUCGACCACGGCUGCUGCCAGUCGCAAGUCUGUGCAGUGUUAUUUCUGCGGACUCAAAAAGCACCCCGGAAAACGCUGCCUGGCCUGAGAAGCUACCUGCUCCAGCUGCAGAAAGAAGGGCCACUUCGCCAAGGCCUGUAAGUCCAAACCAUGAACGGGGUCAAGCAGCGCCGAGUGCGAGGCAUGGGGGCGGCCAUCUUUGUCGGCGCCACCUCGCCCCGCCCCCGACCCACGGUUGCUUACCGGGCACCAAGAUGGCGAUGCAACUCUGGCCUCCGUGACCCUUGACCAAAGCGCUCCGCAUAAGCUCGCAAGGUCAAUGAUGGACAUCCUGGUGGAGGGGCACAGGACUCGCUGGCUAUUUGACACGGGCAGCACUGAGAAUUUUAUUCACCCGGACACAGUGCAAUGCUGCGGACUCGCAACGCGGCCGACCCCGGUAUAAAGGCGAUUGGAGGCACUGCUCCUCCCUCAGUCUCCAGGAUGCUGUGGUCACUUUUGCUGCUAGUAAAAGCCUAUCGUUCGCCUCCCGUCUCCGAGAGUUAUUGAUGGUGCUUCAAUAACAGAAUGCAGAAUAAAGCGAAACAGCAACAGACGAGUUCAUGUUGUCAGAAAGCCUUCAGGAGUAUCUGUCGGAAGGGCCUGAUCUUCAUCAACCUACAGAUGGAAGCUAAGUGAAUUUUGCUUAUUGUUAUUGAGAGCAACACAAUGGAGUUGGACAUUUAACGUCAGGGAAUGUGUAAAAAGUGCUAGCUUUCAAUCAGGAGGGCAAUCCAGAUUUUAAAGGCAGACCUUCUUGGCAGUUUCUCUGAAUUGAGGAACGAUUCAUUAAAGAAAGAUUCAUUUGAAAGGGCAAAUAAAAAUAGCACAGAUGCAAGCAGAGCGGCCAUUAUUUGAAUGGCCUUUCUUUUGGACUAUGUCAAUAUUUGGCUCAUCAGGCUUAAGCGAGAUCAGAUUUGGAUGAGGUAAAAUAUCUUGUAAGUUACCCUCUCUCUGUUCUUAUUUGUUCAUCUGUUAGGGCAUAGGGAGACUGGCUCCAGAAGAAGUGUUUUGUAGUGUGUGUGGAAUGUGGGAAGUCUGGGAGAGGUCCAGUCUCCUGGAUAAACACAUCUGCACCAGGAACAUGGAGUGAACAUAAUAAGGAACUGGAGCUCCAGUUUGAUUACCUUCAACCCAUACAGGAGAAUGAGGAGGUGAUAGGCAGGAGCUACAGGGAGGUAGUCACCCCUAGAUUGUAAGAUUCAGGUAACUUAGGUGACUCUCCGGAGAAGGAUGGGACGUGAAUAGCCAAUGCAGUGUACACCUGUGACUGGUCCCCUCAAUAAUAGGCAUACAACUUUAGAUACUAUUGAGAGGGAUGACAUACCAGCAGACUGAACCUCUGGCCCUGAGUCUGGUGCUGUGGCUCAGAAGAGCAGAAAGGUGAAAAGGACUACAGUGUUGAUAGGAGAUUUCCCCAGUCAGAGGAACAGAGAUGAGGUUCUGUGAGCGUGCUAGAGACACCUGGAUGGUAUGUUGCCUCCCUGGUGCCAGGAUCAGGGAUGUCUUGGAUCUAUCCAUGACAUUCUGAAGGGUGAGAGUGAGCAGCUAGAGGUUUUGGUGCAUAUUGGCACCAAUGACAUAGGCAGGCAAGAUGAGGAGGUCCUGAAGAGAUAUUUUAGGGAGCUAGGUAGAAAGCUGAGAAACAGGAUCUCUAGAGUAGUAGUCUCUGGAUGCUGCCCGUGUCAUAUGCCUGUAAGGAUAAGAAUAGGAUGAUUUGACAGGUGAAUGCAUGACUGCUGAACUGGUCAGGGGUUCAGAUUUAUGGAUCAAAGGAAUCUGUUCAGGAGAAGCUAUGACCUGUACAAAAAGGGCAGGUUACAUCCAAACCACAGUAGGUCUAAUAUCCCAGCAGGCAAGUUGGCCAGAGUUUUUUUGGGAGGGUUUAAACUAAUUUGGCAGGGGGAUGGGAACUGGUGUGAUAGUGUUGAAGAUAAGGUAGCUGGUUUAUGAACAGGGAUAAGGUGUAAUGAGGAGAGGAUGUUGUCAGGGCAAAAUUGCAGUCAGAAGGAUGAGCUGCACGUAAAAGAUAGACAAAAUCGAAAAGGGUGAAUACAGGACUGAAAGUGCGUGGUAUACAGAAUAAGGUAGAUGAACUCCAAGUCCGACCUGACUAGUGUUUUAUAAAGCUUCAGCAUUGUCUCCUUGUUUUUUUUUGUUCUAUUCCCCUUGAAAUAAAUGCCAACAUUGUAUUUGCCUUCUUUACCGCAGACUCAACCUGUAAAUUAACCUCCUGGGAGUCUUGCACAAAUUCAUUUGCAUAUUGGGAGAAGACAGGAGACUGAGACCGAGAAGAAAAUUGGAUCAGCCAUGAUGAAAUGGUGGAGCAAACUCAAUGGGCCAAAUGAACUAACUCUGCUUUUAGAUCUUAUGGUCUAAUGGAAUACAGUGGAAUGUGGUGGGUAUGACUUUAGGGUAAUUUGGUCCAAUAUUUCACAUUUUGGAGCCAACCAUUCCUUCAUUCAUUUCACCAAGGUCCAGACGGCCACUCAGUGUCGAAGGGACACAUCCAGACCAAGGGGCAAAGUCAAAAAGAAAUGUGGAACAUGCCCUCUUUGCAUUAUUACUCUCAGGGAGAAGCUACAGGAGCCUGAAGACCAAAACUCAACAUUAUAGAAACAGCUUCUUCCCCUCUGCCAUCUGAUUUAUAAACAGUCCACAAUCAUUACCUUGAUAUUCCUGUUUUUCACGAUUUAUUUUAUAUUGUAAUUUGUUAUGUCUUGCACUGUACUGUUGCCACAAAACAAAUUUUGUGACAUG